AACGAACGCUGGCGGCAUGCCUAACACAUGCAAGUCGAACGAGACCUUCGGGUCUAGUGGCGCACGGGUGCGUAACGCGUGGGAACCUGCCCUUAGGUUCGGAAUAACUCCCCGAAAGGGGUGCUAAUACCGGAUAAUGUCUUCGGACCAAAGAUUUAUCGCCUUUGUGUGGGCCCGCGUUGGAUUAGCUAGUUGGUAGGGUAAAAGCCUACCACGGCGACGAUCCAUAGCUGGUCUGAGAGGAUGAUCAGCCACACUGGGACUGAGACACGGCCCAGACUCCUACGGGAGGCAGCAGUGGGGAAUAUUGGACAAUGGGCGAAAGCCUGAUCCAGCAAUGCCGCGUGAGUGAUGAAGGCCUUAGGGUUGUAAAGCUCUUUUACCCGGGAUGAUAAUGACAGUACCGGGAGAAUAAGCUCCGGCUAACUCCGUG
Molecule: ribosomal RNA, 433 nt
Filed under: uncultured bacterium
Lineage: Bacteria
Description: partial 16S ribosomal RNA
Rfam family: Bacterial small subunit ribosomal RNA
Source: RNAcentral